CAAUAGCGUAUAUUAACGUUGUUGCAGUUAAAAAGCUCGUAGUCGAAGGUUUGAUGGGAUGUAAGUUGUGUAUCAUUGAUUUACGACGUAUAUGCUAUCAUUUUUGUGGGGAAAGGGGCGCCCUUUAUUGGGUGUUUUAGGAACCACGACGAUUACCUUGAGGAAAACAGAGUGUUCAAAGCAGGCGUUUGCUUGAAUACGUUAGCAUGGAAUAAUAAGAUAGGGCGUUGCCUGAUUUUGUUGGUUUUGUGGGCCGAGUCAUGAUGAAUAGGGACAGUUGGGGGCAUUAGUAUUUCUAAGCUAGAGGUGAAAUUCUUGGAUUUUAGGAAGACUAACAACGGCGAAAGCAUUUGCCAAGGAUGUUUUCAUUGA
This 372-nucleotide ribosomal RNA is filed under the name uncultured eukaryote. RNAcentral's name for it is "partial 18S ribosomal RNA". It matches the Rfam family "Eukaryotic small subunit ribosomal RNA", at positions 592 to 976 of the family's 1831-position model. The record is from RNAcentral.